GAUGAACGCUAGCGGCAGGCUUAAUACAUGCAAGUCGAACGGUAACAGGUCUUCGGACGCUGACGGGUGGCGCACGGGUGAGGAACACGUACACAAUCUACCUUAUACUGGAGAAUAGCCCCGGGAAACUGGGAUUAAUACUCCAUAGUCUUUAAUGAUCACAUGAGAAAUAAAGUAAAGCUUCGGCGGUAUAAGAUGAGUGUGCGUCCCAUUAGAUUGUUGGUGAGGUAACGGCUCACCAAGUCGACGAUGGGUAGCUGGCGUGAGAGCGCGACCAGCCACACUGGCACUGAGACACGGGCCAGACUCCUACGGGAGGCAGCAGUAGGGAAUAUUGGUCAAUGGACGAAAGUCUGAACCAGCCAUGCCGCGUGGAGGAUGACUGCCCUCUGGGUUGUAAACUCCUUUUAUAUGGGAAGAAACCUCUGGAUUCACUCCAGAGCUGACGGUAUCAUAUGAAUAAGCACCGGCUAACUCCGUGCCAG
RNAcentral lists this ribosomal RNA (485 nucleotides) under uncultured bacterium. RNAcentral describes it as "bacterial SSU rRNA". It matches the Rfam family "Bacterial small subunit ribosomal RNA", at positions 28 to 511 of the family's 1533-position model. The record is from RNAcentral.